CGAACGCUGGCGGCGUGCCUAAUACAUGCAAGUAGAACGCUGAAGAGAGGAGCUUGCUCUUCUUGGAUGAGUUGCGAACGGGUGAGUAACGCGUAGGUAACCUGCCUUGUAGCGGGGGAUAACUAUUGGAAACGAUAGCUAAUACCGCAUAACAAUGGAUGACACAUGUCAUUUAUUUGAAAGGGGCAAUUGCUCCACUACAAGAUGGACCUGCGUUGUAUUAGCUAGUAGGUGAGGUAACGGCUCACCUAGGCGACGAUACAUAGCCGACCUGAGAGGGUGAGCGGCCACACUGGGACUGAGACACGGCCCAGACUCCUACGGGAGGCAGCAGUAGGGAAUCUUCGGCAAUGGGGGCAACCCGGACCGAGCAACGCCGCGUGAGUGAAGAAGGUUUUCGGAUCGUAAAGCUCUGUUGUAAGUCAAGAACGAGUGUGAGAGUGGAAAGUUCACACUGUGACGGUAGCUUACCAGAAAGGGACGGCUAACUACGUG
This 495-nucleotide ribosomal RNA is filed under the name uncultured bacterium. Its description in RNAcentral is "partial 16S ribosomal RNA". It matches the Rfam family "Bacterial small subunit ribosomal RNA", at positions 30 to 507 of the family's 1533-position model. The record is from RNAcentral.